GCUGCCGUGGCGCAACUGGUUAGCGCGUGCGGCUGUUAGACAUGAUCAGUACACCGCAAGGUUGGUGGUUCAAGUCCACCCGGUAGCG
Molecule: non-coding RNA, 88 nt
Organism: Zopfochytrium polystomum
Lineage: Eukaryota; Fungi; Chytridiomycota; Chytridiomycetes; Chytridiales; Chytridiaceae
Source: the annotation of a GenBank genome assembly